AUGGCAGCGGCCGGGGCUGGUCUUCUUCUUGGCGCACGUGCGUUACCUCUCCAAGAUCUACGAGCUUGGUGGCAGGUUGCUCAUCCUCUGAUGCUCGCUUGCUCACCCUGCUCGGCGUCUACCACCAUGCCAUCAUCAUUGUCAUGCUACCUCUGGCUCGCCACUGGGAUGGAGUUCUCAUGUGGAGUUGUUUGGAUGUGCGUGCAGGUGCAAGAAAUUCAGGAAGUUGGGCAAAGAAGGGUCGUUCUGGAGGCCAUCACUGUUGCGCAUCGCCGUCCGGGCCAAAAUCUUGUCAGAUUAUGCGUGGACAUCAGCAACCUCGAAGCAUGCUACCUUGUUGGAAAUUAUCCGAUUGUAUUUUUGGGGAGCCGGGAGGCAGGAGGAAUGCUGGUGAUGACCGCGACGGUGGGUGACACCGCCGGGAGGCAAUGCACUCCCUGGGUGUCGUUCAAUUAA
Molecule: ribosomal RNA, 456 nt
Filed under: Triticum aestivum (bread wheat)
Lineage: Eukaryota; Viridiplantae; Streptophyta; Magnoliopsida; Poales; Poaceae
Description: partial small subunit ribosomal RNA
Source: RNAcentral